This 416-nucleotide ribosomal RNA is filed under the name uncultured soil bacterium. RNAcentral describes it as "bacterial SSU rRNA". It matches the Rfam family "Bacterial small subunit ribosomal RNA", at positions 26 to 442 of the family's 1533-position model. The record is from RNAcentral.
AGAUUGAACGCUGGCGGCAGGCCUAACACAUGCAAGUCGAGCGGUAGAGAGGUGCUUGCACCUCUUGAGAGCGGCGGACGGGUGAGUAAUGCCUAGGAAUCUGCCUAGUGGUGGGGGAUAACGUUCGGAAACGGACGCUAAUACCGCAUACGUCCUACGGGAGAAAGCGGGGGACCUUCGGGCCUCGCGCCAUUAGAUGAGCCUAGGUCGGAUUAGCUAGUUGGUGAGGUAAUGGCUCACCAAGGCGACGAUCCGUAACUGGUCUGAGAGGAUGAUCAGUCACACUGGAACUGAGACACGGUCCAGACUCCUACGGGAGGCAGCAGUGGGGGAAUAUUGGACAAUGGGCGAAAGCCUGAUCCAGCCAUGCCGCGUGUGUGAAGAAGGUCUUCGGAUUAGUAAAGCUAACUUUAAGG